AUGGUCAAAGACACAACUAAAAGCAUCGAAUCAUCGGUUGUGAACUUUCUACUCAAGGCAUUCGCUGCAAGCUUCGGUGAUGGCAAACAUUUCACUGACGGAUGGUUUGGUAUAAAGGUCGAUUGUGGAUGGAGAAAAGAUGGAUAUGGUGGAAAAGGUGGUGGUGGUUGUGUGGAUGUGAAGCGUGGUGGUGGUAAGGUCACCGCAGGUGAGUUAAGUGUGUGGGUAUACGUGGUUGAGAUUAUGCAGAUUCGAAAAACCCGAGUUCCUGGUUUGAAAAAUCCUUCUGUUUCUGAAGAUUAG
Vicia faba (fava bean) is the source of this 303-nucleotide non-coding RNA. The record is from the annotation of a GenBank genome assembly. Lineage: Eukaryota; Viridiplantae; Streptophyta; Magnoliopsida; Fabales; Fabaceae.